UACAGAGGUCCCAAGCGUUGUUCGGAUUCAUUGGGCGUAAAGGGUGCGUAGGCGGCGCGGUAAGUCGGGUGUGAAAUCUCGGAGCUUAACUCCGAAACUGCAUUCGAUACUGCCGUGCUUGAGGACUGGAGAGGAGACUGGAAUUUACGGUGUAGCGGUGAAAUGCGUAGAUAUCGUAAGGAAGACCAGUGGCGAAGGCGGGUCUCUGGACAGUUCCUGACGCUGAGGCACGAAGGUCAGGGGAGCAAACAGG
This 253-nucleotide ribosomal RNA is filed under the name uncultured bacterium. RNAcentral describes it as "partial 16S ribosomal RNA". It matches the Rfam family "Bacterial small subunit ribosomal RNA", at positions 524 to 776 of the family's 1533-position model. The record is from RNAcentral.